This 839-nucleotide ribosomal RNA is filed under the name Cladonia subulata. RNAcentral describes it as "large subunit ribosomal RNA". It matches the Rfam family "Bacterial large subunit ribosomal RNA", at positions 1398 to 2236 of the family's 2925-position model. The record is from RNAcentral. Lineage: Eukaryota; Fungi; Ascomycota; Lecanoromycetes; Lecanorales; Cladoniaceae.
AAAUUACCUAAUGGUAUAGACGAUGAGAAAACCUAGAGUUUGCAGUAAUUAACGUUUUUUAUUUACGUAGUAACUGAGACUCCGCUUAUCCCUUUGAAUUGUUAUUUUAAUAAUAUAUUAUUAAAGGAAAAACGGAAGAUCUUUACUAAUAUUUUAAGUAAAUUAAGUGAAAAAUGUUCUGGAAAACUGUAAACUCCGUAAGUAAUAUAAAAAAAGUAAAACAAAUAUAUAUUGUAAGCUUAUGCUAUAAUACCGUACCUAAAUACUAACACAAGUGAGCAAGUAGAGAAUACGAAGGCGUUCGAGCUAACAAUCAUAAAGGAACUCGGCAAAUUGACUCUCGUAACUUCGGGAUAAGGUGGGCCAUUUCUUCUGAUUAAUAUCAGGCAAGAAAGAGGAGGCAUAGAAUGGUGUUGUACGACUGUUUAAUUAAAACAAAGCACGCUGCGAAGAAAUAAAUUCGAAGUAUUGAGUGUGAUCUCUGCCCGAUGGCGGCUGGUUAACUAAUUUGCUUAGUUAAAUAAAAUAAGCUAGGCUUUGAUGGAAACCCCGUUCAAUGGCGGCCUUACCUAUAAGGGUCCUAAGGUAGCGUAAUACCUUGGCCGUUAAAUGCGGUCUUGCAUGAAUGAUGUAACGAUACAACAGCUGUCUCUAUGAUUGGCUCGGUGAAAUUGGAAUAACUGUGCAGAUACAGUUUACCUUUAGUUGGACGAGAAGACCCUAUGCAGCUUUACUGUUGCUAGUUACUGAGUAUGAUAUAAUGAGUUGUAGCGUAUAAGGUAAUUAAUAUAAAAUUGAAACACCUUUACUUCAUUUAUCAUAUUAUAUAAACCUUACAA